This 253-nucleotide ribosomal RNA is filed under the name uncultured bacterium. RNAcentral describes it as "partial 16S ribosomal RNA". It matches the Rfam family "Bacterial small subunit ribosomal RNA", at positions 524 to 776 of the family's 1533-position model. The record is from RNAcentral.
UACGUCGGGGGCAAGCGUUGUCCGGAAUUAUUGGGCGUAAAGAGCUUGUAGGCGGUUUGUCGCGUCUGCCGUGAAAAUCCGGGGCUCAACCCCGGACUUGCGGUGGGUACGGGCAGACUAGAGUGUGGUAGGGGAGACUGGAAUUCCUGGUGUAGCGGUGAAAUGCGCAGAUAUCAGGAGGAACACCGAUGGCGAAGGCAGGUCUCUGGGCCACUACUGACGCUGAGGCGCGAAAGCCAGGGGAGCGAACGGG